ACAUCUUUUCUUGUUAGUUUCUGAAGUAUGGCCUGCCCGCUGACGUAUUUUGAGUUGAAGGGCCGCGGUAUUUUGACCGUGCAAAGGUAGCAUAGUCAUUAGUUCUUUAAUUGUGAUCUGGUAUGAAUGGCUUGACGAGACAUAGGCUGUCUUAGUGUGAAUUUAUUGUUGAAUUUGGAGUUUAAGUUAAAAUUCUUAGAUGUUUUUAUGGGACGAGAAGACCCUAUAGAGUUUUACAUUUGAUUGUGCAUUUCUUGUUGUUUGUUUUAGGUUUUUGCGUGUCUUUUGUUUUGUUGGGGUGAUGGGAGGAAUUUAUUUAACUCCUCUUUUUAUGUGAUAUAUUGAUUUAUGUUUGUUUUGAUCCAUUUAUUUUGAUUGUAAGACUAAAUUACCUUAGGGAUAACAGCGUUAUCCUCCCUGAGAGUUCUUAUUGGCGGGGGGGUUUGCGACCUCGAUGUUGGAUUAAGGUUUAUUUU
RNAcentral lists this ribosomal RNA (476 nucleotides) under Odontotermes javanicus. RNAcentral's name for it is "partial 16S ribosomal RNA". It matches the Rfam family "Bacterial large subunit ribosomal RNA", at positions 1829 to 2550 of the family's 2925-position model. Lineage: Eukaryota; Metazoa; Arthropoda; Insecta; Blattodea; Termitidae. The record is from RNAcentral.